Molecule: ribosomal RNA, 855 nt
Filed under: uncultured bacterium
Lineage: Bacteria
Description: bacterial SSU rRNA
Rfam family: Bacterial small subunit ribosomal RNA
Source: RNAcentral
AGAGUUUGAUCAUGGCUCAGGAUGAACGCUGGCGGCGUGCCUAAUACAUGCAAGUCGAGCGGUAAGGCUUUCACUAAGGUUCGAAGUAGGAACUAGGAUAUAGGAAAUAGGAUAAAGUGCAUAAGACCACUAAGCCCUAAAUCCUAAAUCCUCAACCCUUCCUUGGAGCUUUUGUGAAAGUACACGAGCGGCGGACGGCUGAGUAACGCGUAGGAACGUACCCCAUAGUGAGGGAUAAGCACCGGAAACGGUGUCUAAUACCGCAUAAUCUCUUCGGAGCAAAGCUUUAUGCGCUUUGGGAGCGGCCUGCGUACGAUUAGGUUGUUGGUGAGGUAACGGCUCACCAAGCCGACGAUCGUUAGCUGGUCUGAGAGGAUGAUCAGCCAGACUGGGACUGAGACACGGCCCAGACUCCUACGGGAGGCAGCAGUAGGGAAUUUUCCGCAAUGGGCGAAAGCCUGACGGAGCAACGCCGCGUGCAGGAGGAAGGCCUUCGGGUUGUAAACUGCUUUUAACGGGGACGAUUUUGACGGUACCCGUAGAAUAAGGAUCGGCUAAUUCCGUGCCAGCAGCCGCGGUCAUACGGAAGAUCCGAGCGUUAUCCGGAAUUACUGGGCGUAAAGAGUUGCGUAGGUGGCAUGUAAAGCGAGCAGUGAAAGACUCCGGCUCAACCGGAGGUACAUUGUUCGAACUCACAAGCUUGAGCAUGAGAGAGGUAGAUGGAAUUUCUAGUGUAGGAGUGAAAUCCGUAGAUAUUAGAAGGAACACCGAUGGCGUAGGCAGUCUACUGGCUCAUUGCUGACACUAAGGCACGAAAGCGUGGGGAGCGAACGGGAUUAGAUACCCUAGUAGUCC